UGCAGUCGAGCGGUAACAGGGGUAGCUUGCUACCCGCUGACGAGCGGCGGACGGGUGAGUAAUGCAUAGGAAUCUGCCCGGUAGUGGGGGAUAACCUGGGGAAACCCAGGCUAAUACCGCAUACGUCCUACGGGAGAAAGGGGGCUUCGGCUCCCGCUAUUGGAUGAGCCUAUGUCGGAUUAGCUAGUUGGUGAGGUAAAGGCUCACCAAGGCAACGAUCCGUAGCUGGUCUGAGAGGAUGAUCAGCCACAUCGGGACUGAGACACGGCCCGAACUCCUACGGGAGGCAGCAGUGGGGAAUAUUGGACAAUGGGGGCAACCCUGAUCCAGCCAUGCCGCGUGUGUGAAGAAGGCCCUCGGGUUGUAAAGCACUUUCAGCGAGGAAGAACGCCUGUCGGUUAAUACCCGGUAGGAAAGACAUCACUCGCAGAAGAAGCACCGGCUAACUCCGUGCCAGCAGCCGCGGUAAUACGGAGGGUGCAAGCGUUAAUCGGAAUUACUGGGCGUAAAGCGCGCGUAGGUGGCUUGAUAAGCCGGUUGUGAAAGCCCCGGGCUCAACCUGGGAACGGCAUCCGGAACUGUCAGGCUAGAGUGCAGGAGAGGAAGGUAGAAUUCCCGGUGUAGCGGUGAAAUGCGUAGAGAUCGGGAGGAAUACCAGUGGCGAAGGCGGCCUUCUGGACUGACACUGACACUGAGGUGCGAAAGCGUGGGUAGCAAACAGGAUUAGAUACCCUGGUAGUCCACGCCGUAAACGAUGUCGACCAGCCGUUGGGUGCCUAGCGCACUUUGUGGCGCUGUCAGGCUAGAGUGCAGGAGAGGAAGGUAGAAUUCCCGGUGUAGCGGUGAAAUGCGUAGAGAUCGGGAGGAAUACCAGUGGCGAAGGCGGCCUUCUGGACUGACACUGACACUGAGGUGCGAAAGCGUGGGUAGCAAACAGGAUUAGAUACCCUGGUAGUCCACGCCGUAAACGAUGUCGACCAGCCGUUGGGUGCCUAGCGCACUUUGUGGCGAAGUUAACGCGAUAAGUCGACCGCCUGGGGAGUACGGCCGCAAGGUUAAAACUCAAAUGAAUUGACGGGGGCCCGCACAAGCGGUGGAGCAUGUGGUUUAAUUCGAUGCAACGCGAAGAACCUUACCUACCCUUGACAUCUACAGAAGCCGGAAGAGAUUCUGGUGUGCCUUCGGGAACUGUAAGACAGGUGCUGCAUGGCUGUCGUCAGCUCGUGUUGUGAAAUGUUGGGUUAAGUCCCGUAACGAGCGCAACCCUUGUCCUUAUUUGCCAGCACGUAAUGGUGGGAACUCUAAGGAGACUGCCGGUGACAAACCGGAGGAAGGUGGGGACGACGUCAAGUCAUCAUGGCCCUUACGGGUAGGGCUACACACGUGCUACAAUGGCCGGUACAAAGGGCUGCGAGCUCGCGAGAGUCAGCGAAUCCCUUAAA
This 1442-nucleotide ribosomal RNA is filed under the name Vreelandella boliviensis. RNAcentral's name for it is "bacterial SSU rRNA". It matches the Rfam family "Bacterial small subunit ribosomal RNA", at positions 56 to 1280 of the family's 1533-position model. The record is from RNAcentral. Lineage: Bacteria; Pseudomonadati; Pseudomonadota; Gammaproteobacteria; Oceanospirillales; Halomonadaceae.